Molecule: ribosomal RNA, 413 nt
Filed under: uncultured cyanobacterium
Lineage: Bacteria; Bacillati; Cyanobacteriota
Description: bacterial SSU rRNA
Rfam family: Bacterial small subunit ribosomal RNA
Source: RNAcentral
GAUGAACGCUGGCGGUCUGCUUAACACAUGCAAGUCGAACGGACUCUUCGGAGUUAGUGGCGGACGGGUGAGUAACGCGUGAGAAUCUGCCUCUAGGACGGGGACAACAGAGGGAAACUUCUGCUAAUCCCGGAUGAGCCGGAAGGUCAAAGAUUUAUCGCCUAGAGAUGAGCUCGCGUCUGAUUAGCUAGUUGGUAGGGGUAAAAGCUUACCAAGGCAACGAUCAGUAGCUGGUCUGAGAGGAUGAUCAGCCACACUGGGACUGAGACACGGCCCAGACUCCUACGGGAGGCAGCAGUGGGGAAUUUUCCGCAAUGGGCGCAAGCCUGACGGAGCAAGACCGCGUGGGGAGGAAAGCCUUUGGUGUAAACCCCUUUUCUCAGGGAGAAGCAAGUGACGGUACCUGAGGAAUC